CGCGCCCCGCGCGGCGGCCUUGAAUUGUUUAGCUAAACGGCCCUAAACCGUUUCCCAUUCAUUCUCAAUGGUAGUGCUAAACCACUACGGAUGUAAUAUACUUUCGGCCGCUAGCGCUCUCGUGGCGCUCUUCCGGUUUUCGGCACCGCGGGAAGUUUGAAUUCACAGAAGAAGGAGAAGAAGAAAACACACAACAGCGAUCGGCUCCGUUGUUAAAUUUAACGCAUUCUCAAGCGUCUAUCAAAGAGAGCACUGCUUCUUCACUGAUUGUGUCUUUGCUGUCAUCUUUUCCUGGGACCCGAGCAGAUCUUCAGUCAGAGACAGGAGCUACAUGUAUGUCACCUCUGCAUGUGCUGGCCGUACCUGACCUGUGAAGACUGCUGACAGGGUGUUUGUACUGGACAGCGAACGCUGAGCCUAUCGACAACGUGCUUAAUAAACACCACAGGAAGACAUCCUAACAGCACGCUCCAUAUGACCACAAAACUACACGUCACAUUAUGUCAAGCACCUGACCACACUGCUGAACACCAGUUCUUCAUUAAACACGACUGCAGAGAAGUAAACACCAGGAUGUCAUUCCAAGACUUUAUGGAAAUGGAGCACUUUAGACUGAACUGAAGGACACAAAGAAACGGGACUGCAAAAACACGAAAGGCCUGGAGAUGAACACGUUGUUCACUU
This is a long non-coding RNA of Carassius gibelio (silver crucian carp), 684 nucleotides long. RefSeq lists it as uncharacterized. The transcript has 3 exons. NCBI's taxonomy places the organism in Eukaryota, Metazoa, Chordata, Actinopteri, Cypriniformes, Cyprinidae. The record is from RefSeq and is a predicted model, not a curated record.